This 352-nucleotide RNase P RNA is filed under the name marine eukaryotic metagenome. RNAcentral describes it as "Bacterial RNase P class A". It matches the Rfam family "Bacterial RNase P class A". Rfam says of the family: Ribonuclease P (RNase P) is a ubiquitous endoribonuclease, found in archaea, bacteria and eukarya as well as chloroplasts and mitochondria. Its best characterised activity is the generation of mature 5'-ends of tRNAs by cleaving the 5'-leader elements of precursor-tRNAs. The record is from RNAcentral.
GAUAUUCGCUCCAUCCCACGUGGACUGGAGAGGAAAGUCCGGACACCGUAGGGCAGGAUUCCUUCCGAAAGGGAGGGAGGCUCGGUUCAAGCUGAGUCGACGGCUAGUGCCACAGAAAACAAACCACCCCGUUAUGCGGGGUAAGGGUGAAAAGGUGGGGUAAGAGCCCACCGCUCCCGAGGCAACAAGGGGGGCAAGGUAAACCCAUUCCGGUGCAAGGCAAAAUAGGGGACCGAGCGGCCCGCUCAAUGGUUCCGGGUAUGCCGCAUCCUCUUAGGAGGAGCUGACCUUGUGUCGGCAGAUGAAUGAAUAUCGCUGAGCUUUAUGCUCGGUUACAGAAUCCGGCUUAUGC